AUGCCCCUGGACUUCACCAAGCACUUCGUCGCGGGGCCGACGGAGUUCAAGCUCAGGAACAACACCGCCUGCUCCUGGAAGGUGACGGUCAAGUUGAUGAACGGUAGGGUGACCAUGGAUCAGGGUUGGGCCACCUACGCAGCCGUUCAUUAGAUCAAGAUCGGCUACAUGGUGACGUUCAAGCUCCUCACUCCCGACACCCUCAAGGUCAUCAUCUUCGACGACGGUGGCAUUGAGGUCGUCAACAAGUGCGGGAAGCACGACGAAGCCUUCGCCACCAAGGAGUAG
RNAcentral lists this ribosomal RNA (288 nucleotides) under Triticum aestivum (bread wheat). RNAcentral's name for it is "partial small subunit ribosomal RNA". The record is from RNAcentral. Lineage: Eukaryota; Viridiplantae; Streptophyta; Magnoliopsida; Poales; Poaceae.